Long non-coding RNA from Scylla paramamosain (green mud crab), 3821 nucleotides. RefSeq lists it as uncharacterized. NCBI's taxonomy places the organism in Eukaryota, Metazoa, Arthropoda, Malacostraca, Decapoda, Portunidae. The transcript is spliced from 4 exons. The record is from RefSeq and is a predicted model, not a curated record.
GGGAAGACGGCCGCUGUUACCUCAAUUAUUACUUCAUGACAACAAAACUAGGGAAUGGCGGAUAUAUCUGACCAGCGGAUAUGAAGGCUAGACAUGUGGCUCCAUCUUGUGAUAUGUUUGGCUUACAAUAAGUGAGAGACGAAGCAAACAAUGGCUGAAAAUACUGACGCCCGCCUCUACCUUAGCUGACUGCUUAUUUACAUAGACGAACUUUCAAUAUUUCCCUAAAUUUCCAACUCAGAUGUAAACAAAAUCUAAAAAUAUAUCAACAAUCUCAAAAAAAUACCUAAAAAACGAAUAACAAAACCUAAAUAAACGAAUACAAGACACUACAGGGAGGGGGAGGGUGAUGUAGUGAAGGCAGUAAGGCGGACUGAGGGGAGGCUGGCACCUCUGGACUCACCUUAUGUACUCGUGCCUCUCUGGUGCUGCUUGGGGGUGCUCGAUGCAAGGAGAAGCUGCCAGGAAUACGGAAACACUGGUUAAUAGAGCGUGUGGGGCAAGACUGACCAGUGCGGACCAAAACAUUGUGCCCAGCCAGCCGUCCUCCCUCACACACAAACACUCACACAAAAGUUUACAUGUUAUCAAAUAAUAUCCUCACUCCUUUUUCCCCGCUCCACACCCGCUACGUGAUUAUAAACGAAAACUUCACUCACUGCUGCAGCGUCACCGCAGCAAACACGAACGAGCGCUCUACUAAAAUGCUCCUCUCUCUCUCUCUCUCUCUCUCUCUCUCUCUCUCUACUGUUUCUGAAAUCCACAAAAAUGAUUACCAGUUUUUUUUUUUUUUUUUUCAAGGGUGUUUUUCCUGUCAAUAACUUAGAAAUGUCGUAGAUCUGUCUCUAGAACUAAAAAACAAAAAACCGUGUCAUUUUAAUUACAGCCUUUUAAAAAGCGUGUUUCUCUUGUUAGAAAUGUAGAAAUGAUAUUAAUCUGUCACUAGAACCGUAAAAACAUCCUUGAAAACCCGUGCAACUACUGAGAGAGAGAGAGAGAGAGAGAGAGACCAAUGCAUUUCUAAACAUGUGCACUGAACUGAAGGAUCAUGCUGAGGACUAAGUCUGUAUUAAGUCAGUCUAUGCUGCAUUUUAUUGAUUAUUGGUUGACAAUACAGUUUUAAUUUUUUAUGCUUUUGUGGUAUCUUAAUGUAGUUUUGUUAGUGGAGGUAAUAGCUGGUAUAGAGCAGCCUUGUUUGGUACAUACAAGCCAAAGCAGUGGUACAGGACCCAGUACAUAGCAGCCCUACAAUGGUACAUAUAAAUCAUAGCAGUGGUACAUAGCAGCCGAUGGUACAUAGUAGCUAGCAUUCCAGAUUUCAUUACAAGUUGAAAUAAUAAAACACUCAAUAAUUGUACAAUAAUUGUAUCUCCCUAAUAACUUUAUUAGAUGUUCCACUUCAUGUUCACCUUACCUAACCUGAUCUGACCUGACCUGAUCUUACCUAACCUGACCUAAGGUAACUUAAUGACCUGACCUUAACCUGAUCUAACCUUCUUUUCAUCUUUAUUUGUCUUCUUCCCUUUUUCUUUCCUUCUCUCCUACUUCCCAUCAUCUCUUCUUCAUCUCUAUUCACCACAACAGACCAACCUUCAUCAUAAACUGACACACACCUUUCUACCAGAGGUGAGGAGUGACAGCAGCAGCAGCAUGGUGGAGCAGAGGCCUGGGGGGGUAACCAUGGGAGGCAGAAGGCAGCAUGCUUAUCAAGUUUGUUACCAAGCAGGACCAUGUUUUCCAGGAGUAGAGAACAGUCUCAUUAUGGAGGGACGGGUGAACCUCGUGUGCUGUGGGCCCUUGCUGCGGAUGUGUGUGGCCGGCUGUGGAUGUGUGUAGCCAGAAGUGGUGUGCCUAAGCUCCUAGGAUGUGGUAGGAUGAUUCACAAGACACUCUCUUUCCACCAGGGGCUGACAGGGAUACACAGUGCCAGGUGCCUCAGUGCUGGAGGGACGGGUGAACCUCGUGUGCUGUGGGCCCUUGCGCCUUGAGUGAACAGCAACCCUGCCUAGCCAAAUGAAAUUGCCCACGUGUUCAUCAGACAAGGUUUGGAGGUCUUCAGAGAGCUGUCAAGACUGGAGUUUGUGGUAGAGGGGCAGCUGCUAAUCAGCAACCUUUGGGAGCAACUGGAGGAGAGUGGGAGGAGCCUGGAGGGAUUGGUGGUGGUUGAGUAUUUGGAGAAACUGCCUCCACCCACCCCCAAGGAUCCCCUCCACCACAAUGACCGGGUGUCUGCUGUACAGGUCCCUGACCAAUGGUGAGAGAGGGAGAGGGAGACUGGCUAAUGGUGGAUGGGAGAGAGUGACAAGUAAGGAUAUGAGAAAGAGAGAGAGAGGGAAGCUGACUAGUGGUAAGAGAAAAAGAGAAGGAAAGAGGUAGAGUGGGACUGACCAGUAGUAAAGGAGAGAGAGAGAGAGAGAGAGAGAGAGAAAAUUCAUCCUAAAUACACCCUAACUAAGAUAUAUUCACUCUAAACAGUAACACUACCCCAACUAACAUUCUCUCACCCUAAAUAAACCCUAAUCCCCCAAUUUUCACCCUAGACAAAAAAAUUUCACCAUAACUAACAUUCUCUCACCCAAACUAACUUCCUCACCCUAACCCAACCCCAUCUCACCCUAUCUCCUCCCCACAGGCUGCUGACAGGGUGCUUGAUGACGAGAGUAAUUUCCUUUAACUUUGGUAAUGCGCAACACAGCACCGCCAGCUGGCUCACUCACACAGAACUUAUAUGAAGCUACUCCAUACAUGCACUGUGGGUGUAUAGAAAGUGGCAUUACCUUAUUAAGAAAAGUAUGUAUGUGAGUAUAAUGUAAGAAUUAGGUAGCUUAGAUGAGGGUGGAGGAUAGGACCUUGGGAGUGAGAUGUGUUGUUGGUAAAUAGUAAUCCUUUAGCCAUACACGGGUUGCAGACUCCAUUGUGAAAAUAGUGACAGCUGACUGUGGCAGUGAGGGCACAGUGUAUGGAUGUCUGAGUCCCGCCAUAAAGUGUGCCAGAUGUAAUUCUCUGUAUUAUAAUUUGCCCAAGUAUCAGCUGAAGAAAAUGCACAUUAUUAUUAACAAAGCAGCUACAUUAAUAAUGAACUUGUCAGCAUAUAAGAGGGUCACACCAGUUCUCAUUGAACUACACUGGUUGUCAGUUAAGGCUAGAAUCAUAUAUAAAAUUUGUGUUAUGACAUAUGUGCCAAUGAAGACUGGGAAGCCUGAAUACUUGAGGAAAUUAUUACAACCAUUUGAAUUACAGACAGAUAUUGUAUUAAGAAUUGCUUCUGAUAGCAAUAGACUCUUAGAACCAAGGUAUAACAUAGACAUUAGUUGUGAAGCCUUUAAAUACUGUGCCCCAAGAUUAUAUAAUAGACUCCCAGGUGCUGUUAAGAAUAGUGAAAAUGUGGGUCUGUUUAGGAGGGGAUUAAAAACAUUUUGUUCAGUGACUGCUAUGAUAUGGAGGACAAGUGUAUUAGAGAUAAUUAUGCAUUAUAAUAAUUUGUAGGGUGAACAGUGUUAAAAUGAUAGGAGACAUUAUUGUGUUACUAUGAGUAAGUAUGACUGUUAUUUACUAUGAAGUGUCAGAGUGAUUAUUAAUAGUCUUAUGGAAGAAAAACAUUUUGUACUGUUGUAAAUGGGUAUUAUUUAGUCAGUAUUACUAGUUUUUAUUGAUUUUAGCAUCAUAAUACCUACACUGUCAAUAUAAUUGCCAUCAUUACUGUGUGUGAACUAUAUUGUAUUAGUAUGUUUAAGUAAGCAUCACUCUGUUAUUUAUAAUAUUAAGUGUUCUAUUAGUAUGUUUAAGUAAGCAUCACUGUGUUAUUACAAUAUUAAGUUUUA